CGCAGCCGAGGGACUCUGGAGACAGCCAGCCCCGGGCUUACGGCUCAGGGUGAAAUGACGCACGCUACAGCAGCGAAGGGCGUUCCACGGGGGCACUGGAGCAGCGCUGAGGCUGUCGGAUCAUCCCUCCCUGUCUCGCGAUAUCGCGUUCUCCGCACACUGAGCAUUGUUGUUCUUGGGAAGUACACGUGAGAAAUGGGGAGAACUGGUCCGGUCCAUGGUCACUCGGAAAGCUGUCCUGCAGUGUUCUCAAGCUUUUUGUCACUGAAUAUUUCAUGUUGCCUUUGUAGAUGACUGACAAUUUGACUAUAAAUAGAAUUCUUCCGUUACGACUCCGACCCACAAAGCUGUAUGAGUUUAUUUUUAUGGUUUACUAUUCUGAGGAGAUUCAGUGUGCAGGCCUGGAGUUUUUGAAGGCUUUCCACUGGUUCUUGGAUUAUCACUCUCCACCUUUACCCCCACACAAUUAUAUAUUUAUCUUUAUAAACAUGUAUCUAUUUAAAUCACAAAUUUUUAAAUGUUAUUCUUAGCUAAUAUAUUUUAUUAUGAUUGUUAAUAAGAUUAUGUCAUUCUGACUUUGCUUAUUGCUGGAACU
RNAcentral lists this long non-coding RNA (595 nucleotides) under Microcebus murinus (gray mouse lemur). RNAcentral describes it as "lncRNA (ENSMICG00000048647.1)". Lineage: Eukaryota; Metazoa; Chordata; Mammalia; Primates; Cheirogaleidae. The record is from RNAcentral.